GACGAACGCUGGCGGCGUGCUUAACACAUGCAAGUCGAACGCUGAAGCUCAGCUUUUGUUGGGUGGAUGAGUGGCGAACGGGUGAGUAACACGUGAGUAACCUGCCUCCUUCUUUGGGAUAACGCCCGGAAACGGGUGCUAAUACUGGAUAUUCACUGGUCUUCGCAUGGGGGUUGGUGGAAAGGGUUUUUCUGGUGGGGGAUGGGCUCGCGGCCUAUCAGCUUGUUGGUGGGGUGAUGGCCUACCAAGGCUUUGACGGGUAGCCGGCCUGGGAGGGUGACCGGUCACAUUGGGACUGAGAUACGGCCCAGACUCCUACGGGAGGCAGCAGUGGGGAAUAUUGCACAAUGGGCGCAAGCCUGAUGCAGCGACGCCGCGUGAGGGAUGGAGGCCUUCGGGUUGUGAACCUCUUUCGCUCAUGGUCAAGCCGCAACAAUGGUUGUGGUGAGGGUAGUGGGUAAAGAGGCGCCGGCUAACUACGUG
Molecule: ribosomal RNA, 483 nt
Filed under: uncultured bacterium
Lineage: Bacteria
Description: partial 16S ribosomal RNA
Rfam family: Bacterial small subunit ribosomal RNA
Source: RNAcentral